RNAcentral lists this transfer RNA (72 nucleotides) under Ictidomys tridecemlineatus (thirteen-lined ground squirrel). RNAcentral describes it as "Spermophilus tridecemlineatus (thirteen-lined ground squirrel) tRNA". It matches the Rfam family "tRNA". Rfam says of the family: Transfer RNA (tRNA) molecules are approximately 80 nucleotides in length. Their secondary structure includes four short double-helical elements and three loops (D, anti-codon, and T loops). The record is from Rfam by way of RNAcentral. Lineage: Eukaryota; Metazoa; Chordata; Mammalia; Rodentia; Sciuridae.
UGGGUUGUAGCUCAGUGGUAGAGCGAUUGCCUUGCAUGCAUGAGGUCCUGGGUUAGAUCCUUAGCACCACAU